GGGCGUUUAGCUCAGUUGGUAGAGCGCACGCUUUGCAUGAUCGCGUGGGACUGUUUCUAUAAGAACCGCGUUGCCUGCGUGAGGUCAGGAUUUCGAGCAUCCUAUCGUCCA
Molecule: non-coding RNA, 111 nt
Organism: Thelephora ganbajun
Lineage: Eukaryota; Fungi; Basidiomycota; Agaricomycetes; Thelephorales; Thelephoraceae
Source: the annotation of a GenBank genome assembly